UAUGCAGUCGACGGUAGCACAGAGAGUUUCUCUCGGYGACSAGWGGCGGACKUKUGAGUAAUGUUUGGRAAACUGCCUGAUGRAGGGGGUAACUACUGWAAACGGUAGCUAAUACCGCAUAACGUCGCAGACAAAGAGGGGGAUUUCGGGUCUCUUGCCAUCAGKKUGCKUGAUAGAUUAGUAGUAGGUGGGGUAACGGCUCACKUAGGGACGAUCCCUAGKUGGUCUGAGAGGAUGACCSGCCAKUGGGAACUGAGAKCGSUCUAGACUCCUAGGGMAGGMAGCYUGGGGGAAUAUUGCACAAUGGGCGCAAGCCUGAUGCAGCCAUGCCGCGUGUAUGAAGAAGGCCUUCGGGUUGUAAAGUACUUUCAGCGGGGAGGAAGGUGUUGUGGUUAAUAACCACAGCAAUUGAAGUUACCCGCAGAAGAAUCACCGGCGGACUCCGUGCCCUCCGCCACGGUUAUGUGGAG
This 470-nucleotide ribosomal RNA is filed under the name Enterobacter cloacae. RNAcentral's name for it is "partial 16S ribosomal RNA". It matches the Rfam family "Bacterial small subunit ribosomal RNA", at positions 54 to 530 of the family's 1533-position model. The record is from RNAcentral. Lineage: Bacteria; Pseudomonadati; Pseudomonadota; Gammaproteobacteria; Enterobacterales; Enterobacteriaceae.